AUUUACUUUUACAUAAUAUCCUGCACAAAUGUCCAGUACUACUUCAUGAUUCUCAAUGUGUUACAUGGCCAUAUAUGCAUGGACGAGAAGGUACAGGGUCUGGCCGAAAGAAACCACCAUAAUUUGUUUUUCAAUAUAUUUGUUCUGCCAAUGCUAUCAGCGACGCACAUUAAUUUGUGAACCGUGAAUUUUUAGUAGUGCCGUUGCAGGUAGUUAAGGUCGUAUAUGAUCCUGGAGACCUGGAGUGCGACGGGUACUGCUGGGCCCGCCUGCCUUGCUCUCACGGGUCGGUACCACGACGGCGGCAUCCAAUUCUUCUUCCCCGUAACCGCGCCCCCGCAACGGCUGGGGCCUCGACGGCCCCUGCCAACCCAACGACGCCGCCGUCCUCGCCGACGACCCGACCGCCUCCGCCUCCGUCUCCUCCCUCUCGGAGUGCGGCUCCCUCGUUCUCUCCACCCCCGACACCCCCCCCCCUCCCCCGCGUCAAGUCCAGGCUCUCCCAGCACACCUACUCCUGGCGGCGCCGCCAUGGCCUCCCCGUCGGAGUCGCUCGGCCGAUCGACCGUCCUUCCCGACCUGAUAGGCCUAUUUGUAGAUCUCGCCGAAGGAGGUACCCGCGCACAAGAGCUUGAGCCUGCCACUCAAUGUUUACAGACUUGGCGUGGGACACGGUGGCGCGUUUCACCCCUUACAUGAAGGCCGUUGGGGACGUGUUCUUCUCUGACUUUGCUCAGGUGGCCGAUGACGAGAGCCGGCACUUCGCCUGACGCUCGCAGAGGAGGCUAGAGGCCUCGAUGCUGGACCUAGGCUGGUGCAGAAUUUGGUGAGUUUUGGGCAUCAUAGGACAUUAAACAUUGUGGCAAAGAUUGCUGAGGAGGAAGUUCAACAUGUCACAGUUGGUCUGUACUGGUUCAUCCUGGUCUGUCAAAAGAUGGGUCGAAUUCCUUGUGCUACUUUUAAAGGAGUAUAACAUGGACGUGAAGGUCCCAUUCAACCAUUCAGCUCAUGAUUAAGCCGGAAUUCCCUGUGACUGGUUAUGAUGGUACGCUGAAAUGUGAGACCAUGAGUAAAAAUCUUUCAAAGGUAGAUCUAGGCAACUAGAAUAUCCAUCGUAUGUAUUCCGUGGUUGAUAAUUAUUUAUGCUCAAAGGAUAUGGUGGUUCUGUGACAGGUGGAUGAUAGGCUGGCUAUCAUUCAUUGCGAUGGGGACACGAACUUGAGUUUGAAUGAGUAGUCGCAUUUGCAUUUUAUAACUUGUAAAGUGCCAUAAAUUCAACUUUCAUUAUGCUAUAUUUUUCAAAACUCUCAGCAUGUGAUCAUUGUGAUGCAUGUGGUCUCCCACAGGCUUUUAACAAGAACUAUUCUGUUUUUUUUUUUUUUUUUUUGGCACAGUUAAAUUUAAUGCAUAUUUUGCAUUGAGGUAUGGUGGUAAUUGGUGAAUUAGUAUCAAGUAAACUAUCAGCACUUAUCAAAAAAAUUAAAAGAAAAGUAAACUAUCAGCGCAGGAUUAGUUGUGGGUUGUCAGAUAAACAUCCUUCACAGCCAUCAUCUUAUGGAGUAUUUGUGGGAACAAAUUUCUAUCGAAAUAAGAAAAUUGUAAGGAUUUGUUGUAAUAAAUUUCAGAAAAAACUAUUAAUCUUCAAUGACCUUUUCAUGCACUAUUUCCUGUACCAACUACCAAGGAAAAGCUAUUUUGUCUCCAAACGGGGAUGAAGGAUUGAAGGUGCCGUCUUGUCAAUAUAGCAAAUUUAUUAUCGCUCUUUAUUGAGAGAAGACACUCGUGGCGUGUUAAACUUGCACUGCAGCAGUUGGCUAAAGACAUAGUAAUGUAAUUGACUAAUGGAAAAUUUGGGCAUGCUUUCUUUAUGUUUUAAUAUAAUUUUUUUACACGGUGUCAUCUUGCGUCUGUUCUAACAGCCGCCCGUUUCCAUGCUGCUUCGGGCGCCUACUUUGUCGCCAACACCGUUUGACCUCGGCCUCUUGGGACGUAUCCUUGUGCUUAGGCAAAUGAGCAAUAAAAAACGCGUUUGUUUUCUCCGUCGCAAAAGAGGACCGGACGCAAGAUAAGAAGGCACAGGUAAGAGAAGCAGCUCGAGUCUGAAAGAAAAGAAACAAGAAGAAGAGGGUGGCUGAGAAGAGAACUUCUUUCGUCUGAGUAGCAGAGGAGAGGGUGGAAAACCUGCCCUGAGUUAUUGGAAUCGAGAAGAAACUUGCUUAAACAACAGCAAGAAGAGAGAGUUUUGAAGCUGAGGAAAGGAAAGGGAUAACACGGUAGAGGAGGAGAAAAUGUGCUGCGACGGCGAGUGCCGGCCGCUUGGAUGGCUGUUGGGACUCCCCUUCGCCUUCCUCUCCCUCCUCGUCUCCCUCAUCGGCGUCGCGGUCUGGAUCGUAGGGUUGCUGCUGUCGUGUAUAUGCCCGUGCUGCCUCUGUGUGACGAUAUUGGUGGAGCUGUCGAUCGAGCUUAUCAAAGCACCUCUUCACGUCAUGGAGUGGUUUACCUCCAAGAUACCUUGUUAGUUCUAGAUUGUUAUUUUUCUUUUUUCCCCUUCUCUUCGUGCAUUAGCCCCUUUGCUUGCUAUGGUUAAGAGGUAAUUGUAGGAUUUGUAAGCGAAAGAUUAUUGAAUGAGAUUGCUGUUCAGAGAGUCUAUCAGUCUAUGUUUGUGAUUUGGAAACCUGAUGUUUCUUAAUUUUAUUGUCGCAACUUCAUCAGUACAA
Molecule: non-coding RNA, 2717 nt
Organism: Phoenix dactylifera (date palm)
Lineage: Eukaryota; Viridiplantae; Streptophyta; Magnoliopsida; Arecales; Arecaceae
Source: RefSeq, a predicted model, not a curated record